GAGAGCAUAGCUCAGUGGUAGAGCGCGUGCCCCGCACGCACAAGGUCCUGGGUUCAGUCCCCAGUACCUCCA
This 72-nucleotide transfer RNA is filed under the name Camelus bactrianus (Bactrian camel). It matches the Rfam family "tRNA". Rfam says of the family: Transfer RNA (tRNA) molecules are approximately 80 nucleotides in length. RNAcentral also lists the same sequence under 1 other name. Lineage: Eukaryota; Metazoa; Chordata; Mammalia; Artiodactyla; Camelidae. The record is from Rfam by way of RNAcentral.